Molecule: transfer RNA, 76 nt
Filed under: Pseudomonas aeruginosa
Lineage: Bacteria; Pseudomonadati; Pseudomonadota; Gammaproteobacteria; Pseudomonadales; Pseudomonadaceae
Description: tRNA-Val
Rfam family: tRNA
About the family: Transfer RNA (tRNA) molecules are approximately 80 nucleotides in length. Their secondary structure includes four short double-helical elements and three loops (D, anti-codon, and T loops).
Source: RNAcentral
GGGUGAUUAGCUCAGCUGGGAGAGCAUCUGCCUUACAAGCAGAGGGUCGGCGGUUCGAUCCCGUCAUCACNNNCCA